ACGAACGCUGGCGGCGUGCUUAACACCUGCAAGUCGAACGAUGAAGCCAGCUUGCUGGUGGAUUAGUGGCGAACGGGUGAGUAACACGUGGGUGAUCUGCCCCAAACUUUGGGAUAAGCCUGGGAAACUGGGUCUAAUACCGAAUAUGACCGAUACUCGCAUGGGUGUUGGUGGAAAGCUCCGGCGGUUUGGGAUGGGCCCGCGGCCUAUCAGCUUGUUGGUGGGGUAAUGGCCUACCAAGGCGACGACGGGUAGCCGGCCUGAGAGGGCGACCGGCCACACUGGGACUGAGACACGGCCCAGACUCCUACGGGAGGCAGCAGUGGGGAAUAUUGCACAAUGGGCGCAAGCCUGAUGCAGCGACGCCGCGUGAGGGAUGACGGCCUUCGGGUUGUAAACCUCUUUCACCAGGGACGAAGCGAAAGUGACGGUACCUGGAGAAGAAGCACCGGCCAACUACGUG
RNAcentral lists this ribosomal RNA (463 nucleotides) under uncultured bacterium. Its description in RNAcentral is "partial 16S ribosomal RNA". It matches the Rfam family "Bacterial small subunit ribosomal RNA", at positions 29 to 507 of the family's 1533-position model. The record is from RNAcentral.